Molecule: long non-coding RNA, 617 nt
Organism: Hypomesus transpacificus
Lineage: Eukaryota; Metazoa; Chordata; Actinopteri; Osmeriformes; Osmeridae
Exons: 3
Source: RefSeq, a predicted model, not a curated record
UGCUGUCUGUUCCUGUUUUAACCUGUGUACAGCCUGAGGUAUUUUCUCGGCAGUGCCGUACGCUCGAGAGUGUGUCUGUGUGUGUGACAGCGUGUGUGUGACAGCGUGUGUGUAUCGCUGCGAGGCAGUCGGACAGAACAGGACGGUGCGGAGGAGGAGGAGUGAUGAUGUUUUUCCCAAAUGUCGAGCAGAGGGAGAAUCGCAGAGGACUUUCUACGGAUCUGACUCCCACAGAAGCUGACUAGAGCAGGCAAGGGGUUGUGGUAGAAGAAGUGACACCUGAGGCCUGGUCAAGAGCCAAGACCAGGGGCUGGAACUGAGCCCGAGGCCUGCUCAGCCCAGGGAUGCCCCGGGCUAGGCUGCAGCAAUGGAGGCUGCCUCUGUUGAAGUUGCUGGCCUCCUCUUUGGUGCUAUAUGUCUCCCUACACAGAACCUCAGGCAUGUCCGGUUGGGGAGGAUGUUUUGAAGGCCAGGAUGUGUUUGCGACCGUCCGAGAGAACAGUCACAUGGGACAGCUCGUCGCUGAGCUAGUUGUAGACACAGAGCCAGCCAAUGGGAUUCACUGGAGCCUCACCGGGCAGGAUGCUGAUUGGUUCUUCCUGGAGGGCAUAAACCUC